UCUGUUAAUUGGCCUCUGUCGAUUGAUUUGGUCUGCCUAAGUUAUUAUGGUUGGGUAUCCCUCUGCUUGUUAUAAUGGUCUCAGUGCUGGAUGUUUGCCUUGUCUUAAUGGGUGGAUGUUUGGUUAGGAAGAGAGUGUUGGAUUUGAGCUCCGCCGGGCUGUUAAGAUGUUGUCCAUGAUGGUUGGCAACUUGGCAUGGUUGGUUGCAAAGAGAAUUUGAGAUUGUGUGCUUGAUGUGUUUACAGUUCUGCUAAUGAGGGUGCCUUCUAAUAGGGGGUGUCUGCUGUUAGCUUCUUGCUGCGAGAUUCGGUUAUCUGGUGCCCAUGCUUUAGGCUUUCAUUCUGUGUCUAUGCAUGUUGACCAACUGCUCCUGAAUGUGUUUCACGCUUGCUAUGCUCAUCGGGUCUGCUUGUUUUUGCUUGCCACCUUCAGCUAUUAUGUUAUGUUAGUUCUCUGCUUUAGUGAUUAUCUGCACUUCUCAAUUACAGACUUCAUUGCUUCUACAUAUGGUUUCUCUGUUUAUUAAUUUGCCUUGCUUUCUUUCAUGGUCCUUACUUUCUGUUUGGCAGCUUGUUUCAGUUACAACUGAGUUCUUGGGUUGCACUUUGUUGUUGGAAACUACUUACUGGUGGAGCUGCUGCUCGGUUCAUAGGGUAAGUCGUGCCUUGCUAUGUUUCCUAUUGCUUGCUAUUUAGUUGUGUUUAUUACUAUUUAUUUCAUAGGCUUCUGUGUUCUUCCCUUUGUAUGGUCUGCGUUGGUAUUUUUCCGGUUGCUCCUUAAUAAUUAAUUAUUAUAAGCAUUUUUAUUAUCAGUUCUUCCUGUGUGCCUCUGCUUGAGGCUGUUGCGAGCUAUUGUCGAUUGCCGUUUCAUUCUUAUGUUUGAGAGGUGGCAUCUGAUGGUUUUCUGCUUGGAGGGGUGGAGAUUGAUGUUCUUACUAGGGAUGACGUGGUGCCGUGUCAAACCAAUUUCUACAAGGGAUAUAUGGGUUUGUUGUUGCAGAUUACAAUUACGAUAGCAUGUUAGCAUAUAAAAGGUGUUGCGCAGUCGGUUCUGGUGCUUGCAGGUGCGCUUGCCCAGCCUGCCUGGCCUCUGGUACAUGCAGGCGGGCAGGUUGAUGUCGCUGGUAUAAAUACAAGUGUUCAAUUACAAUUAUUGUAUUCACAGCUGGUCAAUUCAGUGUCUGGGUUCUAAAGCCCAUCUAGGAGUGUCUUAGAUAGAUUAUGUCUGGGUCAUUAUAUUGUUCCCUUGGGUAUGCUUGUAAUAAACAUCUCUUUGUAUGCAUGAAUCAUUAUUAUUUCAUUCAAUUGGCUCCACUGUCUCUUGUGCUCCUGUUUGAUACUUUUUUGCAUUUACCUGUGCUGUCUUUACUUCGCUUUUGUCUUAAUAUGCAGUAUUUGCAUAUAUGUGUGCUCAUUGCUGAUGAUGGCUCGCCGUCGGCGUGUUUUGCAUGCUCCUGUUGUUGGUGUUUGUGGUAUUCGUAAGAGAAAUGGUAUGUUGUCUAUAUGGUCAUUUCCUUAGGUUUUGUUUGGCUUGCAUCUGUUCAUUUGUGUCGGUUCUGUCAUUUUCUAGGGGAUGCCUGGUUCCCAGUGCUCACUCCUGCCAUGUUGGCUAGAAAUCGGAAGAGGCAUAAAUUACUUAGGGGCCUUCGUUGCCAUGGUGUUACAUGUACUGGUUUUCUUGGUCGGGGUUCCUGUCUUUCCGUCCUUAGUAUCUUUGUUUUGGCUGUUGUUUCUCAUAACAACAUGCAUGUAGAUCUUCGGUUUGAAGGGGACUUGCCAACUGAUUGGACUGGUUUUCCUGUCGAGGUAGUUAACAAUCGCAAAGGUACUAACUAUUAGGUUGAUGUUAGUUUUGUGUUUUCCUUUUCCUGUCAUGAUGGCCUCCUUGAGUAUUGUGUUUUCUGUAGUUUCCUAUAAGGACAGAUCUUACUAUGGUCCUCCUGAGUACCAGUGCCCUCACUGCAAGGCUUCUUUUUGGUUUGAGGAGAGGGCCAAUCCAUAUUCUUCAUGUGUGCUACGUAAAAUUGUUUAUAACCUUUGUUGCAAAGGUGGAAAAGUCGUUGUUAAACCUUUCAAAAAUCCUCCUGCUUUAUUGAGUCAUUUAUUAUCCUGUCAUGGUGAUCGUGUUUCCAAGCAAUUCCUGACAAAGAUACCGCAUCACAGUUGGACGGCAUUUACGUCUAUUGUGGCGACGUCAUUCGUUCGCUGGAAGGCACGCAGGGGUUAAUAUCUUCAAAAUUUGUGGUCAGGUCCAUCAUCUUAUUGGUUCUCUUUUGCCGAUGAAAACGAUUGUGCCGUCCAGCCAUACCACUGGUCGGUGUUACUACCAGGAGAACUUUCAGGAUGGUCUUACAAUUUGUUGAGUGGAUGAGGCCCCUGAUACUUUUACUAUUUUUACAUGUAGUCCAAUGUGGCUUGAGAUUACUAAGAUGAAGCUUAACGAAUAUCUAGAUGAAAUCCAGUCAGGCCAUGCCUAUGGUCCUAUAAACGCUGGUACCAUUUUAUUUACCCUUUCCAUGCAACUACAGCUUGAAAUUUCUGACUGAUGUUUAAGGCUUCUUGUUUUUCUAUCUCAUUUUCUGUUGUUUUGCUUUGCUUUGCAGUUCUGUACACCGUCGAGUUUCAGAAGUUCCUGGUAUUCCCGUGGAAGUAUGUUUUUAGACCAGUGGAAGGUCAUUUAAUGAUUAAGUUUAUAAAGCGCACUGAACUUGUGGAGAGAACUGGAAUGGAAGCAGAGUUCCCCUUCUGUACGUAUGCAUUGACUCCAAUAGCUCAGCUCCCUAGGCCUACAGAUAUGCCUGAACGCUUUACAAGUGAUUUUGUGACUAAUCAUCUUUUCUCUCGUUUGUUUGGUGGUGAUUUUAUAAUAACUCUUCUUUGCUUGCGUAGAUGUCAUUAGAGUGAUUACUGGAAUCUCUGAAGCUGUUCAAGUAUGUUAGUGCAAAAUCUCAGUGCGUUCUUUUUAAAGACAAAGCAGUUUGUUGACACAGACAAAGAGAGCUUGGCAACUUCCAGAUCAUCUGUAUUUUCAAACUUCUCCUUCCUUCUAUGCUUAUUUAUGUGUGUUUCUUCUCACAGGCCAUUGAAACAGUCGGAUCAGUUAAUGAGUCUGUUGCUGAAAAGGACAAUUCACCACAACUUGGCAGUUCCAUGGAGAAAGAUAACUUACCAUUGCCUGACAGACCUCUGAUGCAAAAAGGUGCUCGCCAUUUCUUUACUUAUACCCCAGUGCUUUGCUUGCAUUGCAAGAUACUCAAUCUAGUGUGCCAUUUUCAGGCCCCAACCAUCUGUGCCUGUCGAUGCUCGAAGCAAUCCGAGCAAGUGGGGCAGAUAGAAGUAGAAAC
RNAcentral lists this long non-coding RNA (3343 nucleotides) under Triticum aestivum (bread wheat). RNAcentral describes it as "long non-coding RNA (TAES_LNC025484)". The record is from RNAcentral. Lineage: Eukaryota; Viridiplantae; Streptophyta; Magnoliopsida; Poales; Poaceae.